This is a small nucleolar RNA of Leptopilina boulardi, 70 nucleotides long. The record is from RefSeq and is a predicted model, not a curated record. Lineage: Eukaryota; Metazoa; Arthropoda; Insecta; Hymenoptera; Figitidae.
UUUUUAAAUGAUGUUAUAAUAACCGCCCCAGUCUGAAUUCUAUGACUGAUUGGUAAAUUUCUGAUAGAAU